GGUGAACGCUGGCGGCGUGCCUAACACAUGCAAGUCGAGCGAAAAGACGAGGAGCUUGCGCCCUUGCCGGUAGCGGGGGACGGGCGGGUAACGCGUGGAUAGGAAACUUCUAUGACGGGGAGAAUUACGGGAAACAGGAGACAAUACUAGAGCAUAUAAUGUACCGCAGGGAGCAAUGGAGAAUGGCGGUUUUGGCGACUGUAAUAGCUGAUUCCGGGCCGCAUUAGCUAGUUGGUAAGGUAACGGCCUACCAAGGCGACGAUGCGUAGCCGAGCUGAGAGGAUGAUCGGCCACACUGGAACUGAGACACGGUCCAGACUCCUACGGGAGGCAGCAGUGGGGAAUCUUGCGCAAUGGGCGAAAGCCUGACCCAGCCACGCCGCGUGAGUGAUGAAGGUCUUCGGGUCGUAAAGCCCUUUUAUUGGGGAAGAACAACUGUAUAUUUAUCCCUGGCCGUCUUGACGGUACCUAAUCAGUAAGCCCCGGCUAACUACGUG
This 497-nucleotide ribosomal RNA is filed under the name uncultured bacterium. RNAcentral describes it as "partial 16S ribosomal RNA". It matches the Rfam family "Bacterial small subunit ribosomal RNA", at positions 28 to 507 of the family's 1533-position model. The record is from RNAcentral.